UUGAGUAACCGGUUCUUGGACUCAUUCAGAAAUCCGAAGAUACAUUCGUGUGCACUGCGCGAACCAUCUUUCAGUCGAAAUCACGUGACGUCAUGCGCAGAGGUUGGGUAUCCUGACCGCGUAAUUGUAGUUGCGUCUUUCACCACGGGAAGGGGAGACCCGGUGUUAACCAGGAAAUGUGGACACAUGAUUGGUUAUAUAGGAGCAGAAAUCGCCAAGACGAAUCAGAAGUGAUUCGGUACGAAGGUGUGAACUGUAUAAGCGGAUACUCUGUUUUCAGAACAAAGACUUCUUUCAUCGCAUACACAAAUGAUGUUAAUCGUCAGCGUCAGCUUACUCUUCAUUGUUGGAACAGCAAUGACUUUUCCACAAGCCUCCUUUUACGCAACAAACAUCAAGGGAACUUACCCACAAAUUCUGCCCCGAUUUGGUGGUGAUGACUCAGAUAUUGGUAAUCGCCUUGGAGAAAA
Non-coding RNA from Zootermopsis nevadensis, 470 nucleotides. The record is from RefSeq and is a predicted model, not a curated record. Lineage: Eukaryota; Metazoa; Arthropoda; Insecta; Blattodea; Termopsidae.